Molecule: long non-coding RNA, 1113 nt
Filed under: Ailuropoda melanoleuca (giant panda)
Lineage: Eukaryota; Metazoa; Chordata; Mammalia; Carnivora; Ursidae
Description: lncRNA (ENSAMEG00000027141.1)
Source: RNAcentral
CGGCAGCUGUGGGGCUUCGCGCCCUUGGGCGCUGCCCACCCACGUGGAGCCGCCACUCUGAGUCACCAAGACACUGCGGAAGUGGUGCAGGACAGGGCCUGAGGAUGCCUUGGUCUGGGGGUCACCUGCUCUAGGGGAGCUGGGCGCCCGGUUGUGAGGACAACAAGCAGCGUGAGCAAGAAGCCACGCCUGGAACGCGGGGCCGGCCUUCAGACACGUGUGAACAAGGAAGCCCACGCUGCUUCUGGCAGCGGUCUUGUCCCCACGAGGGGCUCUGCUGAAGGAAGACGUCAAGGGGAGAGCGGGAUCCUUGAUUGGACGCAAGCAUGACCUCUGCACUUCCCAGCAGAAGCCCUCAUUGUGGAAGCUGGCCCUGCAGAGUUUCCUUCCCUGGAGCUAACAGUGUCCAGCCAAGACCGUCAGCAGGCAGACCACUGGGAUGUUGGGCGGAAGGAAGCCAGACCCGCGGCCCCACGCUCUGACCCUGCCGUUGGACGGUAUCCCGUCUCUGUCCGUCUGCACACCACGGGAAACUGUCUUCACCGCCGCUGCCCCGGGAACGGACAGUUUCCAGCCAGAGGGCCAGGAAAACAAGGCCUGCUCACACCUGGGAUUUUAGGUUGUUUCCAGUGUUUGUGGUAUCAGUUGUGCCUCCCGGAGCCCCUCGCGCCCGCGACCGCUCUGCCACCAGGCCAUUUUCUUAGGCCAGGUGCCCAGACAUGGGACUGCAGGGUCGGGUCACAGCCACGUCCACGGCUCCGGGUGCCAAGUGGCUGUCAGCAUCACGGCAGCCCCCUCCCGCCCGGCGCCUCCCCACCCCCAGCGGACAUGUCCCCUGGCAGCGCAGCCCAGUGCCCUCCGCGGGCUGGGCUGCGUUGUCAUCCCUCCCGCCUGUGUCGGUCAGCGGUUUUCCGAGGAGAGAACUGGGGCAGAGGCCCAGCAGAUAAACGUUGUUUAAAAUUUGGCUGAUAUUCUUGUUCUAUGCAGAUAGAAAGUAGGGAACCCAAUCGUAACCCACCACAGAAGGACUCCGUUGGUCCGGGUCUUCAGGUUUUUAUUCUAUGUUUUAAAUUUCUGUCAAAUUAGUUUUUUUUUUAACUUAAAGAAUGUGAG